UGAGGAAUAUUGGGCAAUGGGCGCAAGCCUGACCCAGCCAUGCCGCGUGAAGGAUGAAUGCCCUAUGGGUUGUAAACUUCUUUUGUACGGGACGAAACUCCUGGUCGUGACCGGGAUUGACUGUACCGUACGAAUAAGCAUCGGCUAACUCCGUGCCAGCAGCCGCGGUAAUACGGAGGAUGCAAGCGUUAUCCGGAUUCAUUGGGUUUAAAGGGUGCGUAGGCGGAAUAAUAAGUCAGUGGUGAAAGCCUGCGGCUUAACCGUAGAAAUGCCAUUGAUACUGUUAUUCUUGAGUAUAGUUGAGGUGGGCGGAAUGUGUAAUGUAGCGGUGAAAUGCUUAGAUAUUACACAGAACACCAAUUGCGAAGGCAGCUCACUAAGCUGUUACUGACGCUGAGGCACGAAAGCGUGGGGAGCAAACA
Molecule: ribosomal RNA, 422 nt
Filed under: uncultured prokaryote
Description: bacterial SSU rRNA
Rfam family: Bacterial small subunit ribosomal RNA
Source: RNAcentral